AUGGCUCAGGAUGAACGCUGGCGGCGUGCUUAACACAUGCAAGUCGAACGAAGCUAAGGGAGCUUGCUCCCAAAGCUAGUGGCGGACGGGUGAGUAACGCGUGGGUAACCUGCCCUAUAGAGGGGGAUAACGUUCGGAAACGAACGCUAAUACCGCAUAAACCAUAAGGAGCUGCAUGGCUCUGAUGGCAAAGAUUUAUCGCUAUAGGAUGGACCUGCGUUGGAUUAGCUAGUUGGUGAGAUAACAGCUCACCAAGGCGACGAUCCCAUAGCCGGCCUGAGAGGGUGAACGGCCACAUUGGGACUGAGACACGGCCCAAACUCCUACGGGAGGCAGCAGUGGGGAAUAUUGCACAAUGGGCGCAAGCCUGAUGCAGCGACGCCGCGUGAAGGAAGAAGGUCUUCGGAUUGUAAACUUCUAUCAGCAGGGAAGAAUAAAUGACGGUACCUGACUAAGAAGCCCCGGCUAACUACGUGCCAGCCGCAGC
RNAcentral lists this ribosomal RNA (487 nucleotides) under uncultured bacterium. RNAcentral describes it as "bacterial SSU rRNA". It matches the Rfam family "Bacterial small subunit ribosomal RNA", at positions 19 to 518 of the family's 1533-position model. The record is from RNAcentral.